RNAcentral lists this ribosomal RNA (468 nucleotides) under uncultured bacterium. Its description in RNAcentral is "partial 16S ribosomal RNA". It matches the Rfam family "Bacterial small subunit ribosomal RNA", at positions 28 to 507 of the family's 1533-position model. The record is from RNAcentral.
GACGAACGCUGGCGGCGUGCUUAACACAUGCAAGUCGAACGGAAAGGCCCUGCUUUUGUGGGGUGCUCGAGUGGCGAACGGGUGAGUAACACGUGAGUAACCUGCCCUUGACUUUGGUAUAACUUCAGGAAACUGGGGCUAAUACCGGAUAGGAGCUCCUGCUGCAUGGUGGGGGUUGGAAAGUUUCGGCGGUUGGGGAUGGACUCGCGGCUUAUCAGCUUGUUGGUGGGGUAGUGGCUUACCAAGGCUUUGACGGGUAGCCGGCCUGAGAGGGUGACCGGCCACAUUGGGACUGAGAUACGGCCCAGACUCCUACGGGAGGAAGAAGGGGGGAAUAUUGCAAAAUGGGCGGAAGCCUGAUGCAGCAACGCCGCGUGCGGGAUGACGGCCUUCGGGUUGUAAACCGCUUUCGCAUGUGACGAAGCGUGAGUGACGGUAAUGGGUAAAGAAGCACCGGCUAACUACGUG